RNAcentral lists this ribosomal RNA (520 nucleotides) under uncultured Acaulospora. RNAcentral's name for it is "SSU rRNA". It matches the Rfam family "Eukaryotic small subunit ribosomal RNA", at positions 569 to 1089 of the family's 1831-position model. Lineage: Eukaryota; Fungi; Glomeromycota; Glomeromycetes; Diversisporales; Acaulosporaceae. The record is from RNAcentral.
AGCAGCCGCGGUAAUUCCAGCUCCAAUAGCGUAUAUUAAAGUUGUUGCAGUUAAAAAGCUCGUAGUUGAAUUUCGGAAUCUGUCCGUUGGUCGGGCUUCAUUGUCCGUACUGGCGUGGUGGGUUCUUACCUUCUGAAUAACCAGCAUGCCAUUUACUUGGUGCGCUGGGGAAGCAGGACUAUUACCUUGAAAAAAUUAGAGUGCUCAAAGCAGGCCAGUGCCUGAAUACAUUAGCAUGGAAUAAUAAAAUAGGACGGCAUGGUUCUAUUUUGUUGGUUUCUAGGAUCACCGUAAUGAUUAAUAGGGAUAGUUGGGGGCAUUAGUAUUCAAUUGUCAGAGGUGAAAUUCUUGGAUUUAUUGAAGACUAACUUCUGCGAAAGCAUUUGCCAAGGAUGUUUUCAUUAAUCAAGAACGAAAGUUAGGGGAUCGAAGACGAUCAGAUACCGUCGUAGUCUUAACCAUAAACUAUGCCGACUAGGGAUCGGACGAUGUUAAUUUUUAAUGACUCGUUCGGCGUCCG